AAAUUGAAGAGUUUGAUCAUGGCUCAGAUUGAACGCUGGCGGCAGGCCUAACACAUGCAAGUCGAACGGUAACAGGAAGCAGCUUGCUGCUUUGCUGACGAGUGGCGGACGGGUGAGUAAUGUCUGGGAAACUGCCUGAUGGAGGGGGAUAACUACUGGAAACGGUGGCUAAUACCGCAUAAUGUCGCAAGACCAAAGAGGGGGACCUUCGGGCCUCUUGCCAUCAGAUGUGCCCAGAUGGGAUUAGCUUGUUGGUGAGGUAACGGCUCACCAAGGCGACGAUCCCUAGCUGGUCUGAGAGGAUGACCAGCCACACUGGAACUGAGACACGGUCCAGACUCCUACGGGAGGCAGCAGUGGGGAAUAUUGCACAAUGGGCGCAAGCCUGAUGCAGCCAUGCCGCGUGUAUGAAGAAGGCCUUCGGGUUGUAAAGUACUUUCAGCGGGGAGGAAGGUGUUGCGGUUAAUAACCGCAGCAAUUGACGUUACCCGCAGAAGAAGCACCGGCUAACUCCGUGCCAGCAGCCGCGGUAAUACGGAGGGUGCAAGCGUUAAUCGGAAUUACUGGGCGUAAAGCGCACGCAGGCGGUCUGUCAAGUCGGAUGUGAAAUCCCCGGGCUCAACCUGGGAACUGCAUUCGAAACUGGCAGGCUUGAGUCUUGUAGAGGGGGGUAGAAUUCCAGGUGUAGCGGUGAAAUGCGUAGAGAUCUGGAGGAAUACCGGUGGCGAAGGCGGCCCCCUGGACAAAGACUGACGCUCAGGUGCGAAAGCGUGGGGAGCAAACAGGAUUAGAUACCCUGGUAGUCCACGCCGUAAACGAUGUCUACUUGGAGGUUGUGCCCUUGAGGCGUGGCUUCCGGAGCUAACGCGUUAAGUAGACCGCCUGGGGAGUACGGCCGCAAGGUUAAAACUCAAAUGAAUUGACGGGGGCCCGCACAAGCGGUGGAGCAUGUGGUUUAAUUCGAUGCAACGCGAAGAACCUUACCUGGUCUUGACAUCCACAGAACUUUCCAGAGAUGGAUUGGUGCCUUCGGGAACUGUGAGACAGGUGCUGCAUGGCUGUCGUCAGCUCGUGUUGUGA
Molecule: ribosomal RNA, 1080 nt
Filed under: Salmonella enterica subsp. enterica
Lineage: Bacteria; Pseudomonadati; Pseudomonadota; Gammaproteobacteria; Enterobacterales; Enterobacteriaceae
Description: bacterial SSU rRNA
Rfam family: Bacterial small subunit ribosomal RNA
Source: RNAcentral